This 500-nucleotide ribosomal RNA is filed under the name uncultured bacterium. RNAcentral's name for it is "partial 16S ribosomal RNA". It matches the Rfam family "Bacterial small subunit ribosomal RNA", at positions 33 to 507 of the family's 1533-position model. The record is from RNAcentral.
ACGCUGGCGGCGUGCCUAAUACAUGCAAGUAGAACGCACAGUUUAUACCGUAGCUUGCUACACCAUAGACUGUGAGUUGCGAACGGGUGAGUAACGCGUAGGUAACCUGCCUGGUAGCGGGGGAUAACUAUUGGAAACGAUAGCUAAUACCGCAUAAUAUUGAUUAUUGCAUGAUAAUUGAUUGAAAGAUGCUAUUGCAUCACUACCAGAUGGACCUGCGUUGUAUUAGCUAGUAGGUGAGGUAACGGCUCACCUAGGCGACGAUACAUAGCCGACCUGAGAGGGGGAUCGGCCACACUGGGACUGAGACACGGCCCAGACUCCUACGGGAGGCAGCAGUAGGGAAUCUUCGGCAAUGGACGAAAGUCUGACCGAGCAACGCCGCGUGAGUGAAGAAGGUUGUCGGAUCGUAAAGCUCUGUUGUAAGAGAAGAACGGGUGUGAGAGUGGAAAGUUCACACUGUGACGGUAUCUUACCAGAAAGGGACGGCUAACUACGUG